Long non-coding RNA from Glycine soja, 308 nucleotides. RefSeq lists it as uncharacterized. The transcript is spliced from 2 exons. The record is from RefSeq and is a predicted model, not a curated record. NCBI's taxonomy places the organism in Eukaryota, Viridiplantae, Streptophyta, Magnoliopsida, Fabales, Fabaceae.
AUUGGGUAGUAUGGCACUAUGGCUGAUGGUAUAAUGUGGCUGAUAAUUAAGAAGCCAAGAAGAUUCAGCAUCAACUGGUUCAUCAAUUGGGCUGCAAUAUACAUAGGAGUGUGCAUUAUGUUGGCUUCUACUAUUGGUGGCUUGAGGAAUAUUAUUGCUGAUGCAUCCAGUUAUAGUUUCUACACCUAAACUAUAUGAUGCUAUUGCAAUAUGGCAAAUAUAAUCAAUCCAGUAAAUCAAGCUGGAUUAGAUUAUCUAAUUUAAUUAGGUCUUUGUUACUUUGAGCAGCUGUAGGCCUUUUUUCACAA